CCUACGGGAGGCUGCAGUGAGGAAUAUUGGUCAAUGGACGAGAGUCUGAACCAGCCAAGUAGCGUGAAGGAUGACUGCCCUAUGGGUUGUAAACUUCUUUUAUAUGGGAAUAAAACGUUCCACGUGUGGGAUUUUGUAUGUACCAUAUGAAUAAGGAUCGGCUAACUCCGUGCCAGCAGCCGCGGUAAUACGGAGGAUCCGAGCGUUAUCCGGAUUUAUUGGGUUUAAAGGGAGCGUAGGUGGAUUGUUAAGUCAGUUGUGAAAGUGUGCGGCUCAACCGUAAAAUUGCAGUUGAAACUGGCAGUCUUGAGUACAGUAGAGGUGGGCGGAAUUCGUGGUGUAGCGGUGAAAUGCUUAGAUAUCACGAAGAACUCCGAUUGCGAAGGCAGUUCACUGGACUGCAACUGACACUGAGGCUCGAAAGUGUGGGUAUCAAACAGGAUUAGAUACCCUGGUAGUC
RNAcentral lists this ribosomal RNA (460 nucleotides) under uncultured bacterium. RNAcentral's name for it is "partial 16S ribosomal RNA". It matches the Rfam family "Bacterial small subunit ribosomal RNA", at positions 338 to 795 of the family's 1533-position model. The record is from RNAcentral.